Long non-coding RNA from Erinaceus europaeus (western European hedgehog), 628 nucleotides. RefSeq lists it as uncharacterized. The record is from RefSeq and is a predicted model, not a curated record. The transcript is spliced from 3 exons. Lineage: Eukaryota; Metazoa; Chordata; Mammalia; Eulipotyphla; Erinaceidae.
AGAAAGUGGCCCGUGUGGGGGAGAAGAGCAGCUCCAGGAGUGGCUGGUUCACUUCGACACCCCUCAGCGGGGCCUGAGGGUCCCCAGGCCUUGGGCCGGCCAGGCUGCAGGCCCAGCCGUGCUAGUGAGUCCCCCUCUCACGGUGGCUGUUUUUGGCGUCCCUGUGCUGCUAAUAGGCAUCUAUCUCUCUCACAUAUUAUCUGCACCUUCAGGGAAUCGCCUUAAAUUUCGACUUGCAGAAAGAACUUAAACAGAACGAGAGCUUCGGUUUGGAGAAAGAAGAUUCCAGCCUCCGAAGACAUGUUCUACCCUCCUCCCCCAUCCUGUCACUAUGGAGAGUCACACGGUCUCAUUCUCAAAAGUGACGUCAAUCCCGCGUUCCUGGAUAAACUCCAUUUGUUCACAGUGAGAUCCUUUCCUCCGUUUUGUUGAGUUUGGCGAUGCUUAGUCUUGGGAAGAGUGUCCGCAUCUAUAUUCAUGAGGGAUAUUACUGUGCCGUGCUCUGCAGUAGCACUUCCUGGUUUGGGUACCAGGGGAAUCUGGCCUCCGAGACUGAGAUGGGAAGUUUUCCCUCCUCCUCUCUCUUCAGGAUUUAAAAAAAAAAAAUAAAUAAUUUUUUUUUCCUUUA